GGGUGAGUAACACGUGGGUAACCUGCCCAUAAGACUGGGAUAACUCCGGGAAACCGGGGCUAAUACCGGAUAACAUUUUGAACCGCAUGGUUCGAAAUUGAAAGGCGGCUUCGGCUGUCACUUAUGGAUGGACCCGCGUCGCAUUAGCUAGUUGGUGAGGUAACGGCUCACCAAGGCAACGAUGCGUAGCCGACCUGAGAGGGUGAUCGGCCACACUGGGACUGAGACACGGCCCAGACUCCUACGGGAGGCAGCAGUAGGGAAUCUUCCGCAAUGGACGAAAGUCUGACGGAGCAACGCCGCGUGAGUGAUGAAGGCUUUCGGGUCGUAAAACUCUGUUGUUAGGGAAGAACAAGUGCUAGUUGAAUAAGCUGGCACCUUGACGGUACCUAACCAGAAAGCCACGGCUAACUACGUGCCAGCAGCCGCGGUAAUACGUAGGUGGCAAGCGUUAUCCGGAAUUAUUGGGCGUAAGGCGCGCGCAGGUGGUUUCUUAAUUCUGAUGUGAAAGCCCACGGCUCAACCGUGGAGGGUCAUUGGAAACUGGGAGACUUGAGUGCAUAAGAGGAAAGUGGAAUUCCGUGUGUACCGGUGAAAUGCGUAGUGUAUAUGGAGGAACACCAGUGGCGAAGGCGACUUUCUGGUCUUGUAACUGACACUGAGGCGCGAAAG
This 672-nucleotide ribosomal RNA is filed under the name Bacillus pacificus. Its description in RNAcentral is "bacterial SSU rRNA". It matches the Rfam family "Bacterial small subunit ribosomal RNA", at positions 104 to 759 of the family's 1533-position model. Lineage: Bacteria; Bacillati; Bacillota; Bacilli; Caryophanales; Bacillaceae. The record is from RNAcentral.